RNAcentral lists this long non-coding RNA (1817 nucleotides) under Junco hyemalis (dark-eyed junco). Its description in RNAcentral is "lncRNA (ENSJHYG00000018194.1)". The record is from RNAcentral. Lineage: Eukaryota; Metazoa; Chordata; Aves; Passeriformes; Passerellidae.
UGCGCUGGCCCCGGCGCUCUCCCGAGGCAGGGGCGGGCCCGCGUCCCCGGCUCGCUGCCGGCUUUUCCUUCCCGUCCUUCCUUCCCGUCCUUCCCAGCUCCGUGACGAGGCGGUUACUCAGCGCCUGAACUUCCGCGCUGCUGAGCAUCGCCACGGCCAUUUUGGGCUCCUCCGCUUCCCAGAGGAGGAGGAGGAGGAGGCGGAGCUGGGGAGGGGGGGGAGGAGGGUACCCAAACCCCUUUUAACCCCUCUGCUGCCGGAGCCUUUCCAUCCGCUCCACACACACCCCAUUCCCCCUUGAGCGGAGAUGUUGCUCCGUGCGCCCCCAACCCUGGUGCUCGCCCCCUUCCCCAGACCCCGGCACGGGCGAUUUGUACGCGAUGGACGACUCGCAGCUGGUGAGCGACAAAUCCCCCUUGGAGGAGCCCCCCGACCUGGCCGCCAGCCCCCCACUCCACGCCGGCCCCUUCAGCCUGCUGCCCGCCAGCCCCUCGCCCGCCCCGCUGCUCCAGGCCCCCGGCUCGCCGCCAGCCCUGCCCGGUACGUGCUGCCCCCCACACCGGGAUCACCCCACGAGAGAUCACCAGGGGUCACCCCACCGGCCCCAUUCCCCACGAGGGAUGCCUCGUGAGCCCCACGGGGAUGGGGGUCUCGUUCCCUACCAGGGAUGCCUCGUGAGCCCCACGGGGGUCACCCCAACAGUCUCGUUCCCCACGAGGGAUGCACUGUGAGCCCCACGUGGAUGGGGGUCUCGUUCUCCGUGGCGGCUGCAUCAUGAGCCCCACGAGGAUCACCCCACCGGCCCCGUUCCCCACCGUGUGCCCCACGGGGGUCACCCCACCGGCCCCGUUCCCCACGAGGGAUGCACCGUGAGCCCCAUGGAGAUGGGGAUUUCGUUCCCCACCGUGAGCCCCACGGAGAUGGGGGUCUCGUUCCCCACCAGGGAUGCACCGUGAGGGUCUCGGCGGCACCGGCGAGGCCCCCGGGCAGCGCAGGGAGGGAGGGGACCCGCGGCCCCGGUGACGUGUCCGGUGACGUUCCUGACCUUGGCUCCUCAGGCGACAACGGCGAGCUGAAGAGCGGCGACCACGCGGGGCUGCGGGACUCGGGGUCCCUGGAGCUCGACCCUCCGCUGGAGCCGGACUCGCCGGCCCCGUCUGCUGAGGAGGAGGAGGAGGAGGAGGAAGAAGAAGAGGAGGAGGAGGCUGCCGACAGCUGCCCGGAGACUUCGGCCGCGCCAGGAGAGGGGGAGAGCGAGGAGCCGGCCCUGCUGAGCGCCUCGGGGGCAGGUGAUGUCCCUCGGCGGCGCAUCGCCACGCAGGAGGAGGUGCGCUUCCCGCUGCAGCACGGGUACGUGGGGUGGCCCCCGAGCCUGUUCCCUUUCCCCUGUCCCGUUCCUGUCCCCCUCUGGCCGUUCUGCCCCCGACCCUUUUCCCUUUCCAUCCUCUUCUUCCUGUCCCCCUCCCGCCGUCCUGCCCCACUGCUCUGUCCCCGGCACUGUCCUCUCCUCAUCCUGCCUCAAAAACUACCAAAACUACCGUCCCCUUCCCACCAUCCUGCUCCUGAAAUUAUCCCCAUCGCGUCCCCAUCCUGUCCCCUCGUGUCCCCAUCCCCUCCCCAUCCUGCUCCUGUCCCCACCCCUUUCCCAUCCUCCCCCUCUCUCCAUCCCUUUCCCAUCCUGUCCCCAUCCCCGACCCCUCCCACUGCUCUGUCCCCUCGGUCCUGUCCCCUCCCCAUCCUGCCUCAAAAACUACCAAAACUACAUCCCCUUCUCACCAUCCUGCUCCUGAAACCAUCCCCAUCCUGUCCCCUUUGUG